RNAcentral lists this transfer RNA (69 nucleotides) under Pteria penguin. RNAcentral's name for it is "tRNA-Arg". It matches the Rfam family "tRNA". From Rfam's summary of the family: Transfer RNA (tRNA) molecules are approximately 80 nucleotides in length. Their secondary structure includes four short double-helical elements and three loops (D, anti-codon, and T loops). Further hydrogen bonds mediate the characteristic L-shaped molecular structure. tRNAs have two regions of fundamental functional importance: the anti-codon, which is responsible for specific mRNA codon recognition, and the 3' end, to which the tRNAs corresponding amino acid is attached (by aminoacyl-tRNA synthetases). tRNAs cope with the degeneracy of the genetic code in two manners: having more than one tRNA (with a specific anti-codon) for a particular amino acid; and 'wobble' base-pairing, i.e. permitting non-standard base-pairing at the 3rd anti-codon position. The record is from RNAcentral. Lineage: Eukaryota; Metazoa; Mollusca; Bivalvia; Pterioida; Pteriidae.
AGGCAGGGAGCAGGAGGAGUGCGUACGGUUUCGGCCCGUGAGGAUGGGGGUAAAAUCCCCCCUUGCCUU